This 501-nucleotide ribosomal RNA is filed under the name Clostridia bacterium. RNAcentral's name for it is "bacterial SSU rRNA". It matches the Rfam family "Bacterial small subunit ribosomal RNA", at positions 8 to 508 of the family's 1533-position model. The record is from RNAcentral. Lineage: Bacteria; Bacillati; Bacillota; Clostridia.
GGAGAGUUUGAUCCUGGCUCAGGACGAACGCUGGCGGCGUGCCUAAGACAUGCAAGUCGUGCGCUCCCGAAACCCAAGGCUCUGUCCGAAGGUUUCGGGGGAGCGGCGGACGGGUGAGUAACGCGUGGGUAACCUGCCCGGGAGACCGGGAUAACACCCCGAAAGGGGUGCUAAUACCGGAUACGAUCCCCCCACCGCAUGGCGGGGGGAUGAAAGGCCAAAAGCCACUCCCGGAUGGGCCCGCGUCCCAUUAGCCAGUUGGCGGGGUAACGGCCCACCAAAGCUACGAUGGGUAGCCGGCCUGAGAGGGUGGUCGGCCACACUGGGACUGAGAUACGGCCCAGACUCCUACGGGAGGCAGCAGUCGGGAAUCUUGCGCAAUGGGCGAAAGCCUGACGCAGCGACGCCGCGUGGGGGAUGAAGGCCUUCGGGUUGUAAACCCCUGUCUUCGGGGACGAAUUCUGACGGUACCCGAGGAGGAAGCCCCGGCUAACUACGUGC